UUUUAUUUGAGAGUUUGAUCCUGGCUCAGGAUGAACGCUGGCGGCGUGCCUAACACAUGCAAGUUGAGCGAUUUACUUCGGUAAAGAGCGGCGGACGGGUGAGUAACGCGUGGGUAACCUACCCUGUACACACGGAUAACAUACCGAAAGGUAUGCUAAUACGGGAUAAUAUAUUUGAGAGGCAUCUCUUAAAUAUCAAAGGUGAGCCAGUACAGGAUGGACCCGCGUCUGAUUAGCUAGUUGGUAAGGUAACGGCUUACCAAGGCGACGAUCAGUAGCCGACCUGAGAGGGUGAUCGGCCACAUUGGAACUGAGACACGGUCCAAACUCCUACGGGAGGCAGCAGUGGGGAAUAUUGCACAAUGGGCGAAAGCCUGAUGCAGCAACGCCGCGUGAGUGAUGAAGGCCUUCGGGUCGUAAAACUCUGUCCUCAAGGAAGAUAAUGACGGUACUUGAGGAGGAAGCCCCGGCUAACUACGUGCCAGCAGCCGCGGUAAUACGUAGGGGGCUAGCGUUAUCCGGAUUUACUGGGCGUAAAGGGUGCGUAGGCGGUCUUUCAAGUCAGGAGUGAAAGGCUACGGCUCAACCGUAGUAAGCUCUUGAAACUGGGAGACUUGAGUGCAGGAGAGGAGAGUGGAAUUCCUAGUGUAGCGGUGAAAUGCGUAGAUAUUAGGAGGAACACCAGUUGCGAAGGCGGCUCUCUGGACUGUAACUGACGCUGAGGCACGAAAGCGUGGGGAGCAAACAGGAUUAGAUACCCUGGUAGUCCACGCUGUAAACGAUGAGUACUAGGUGUCGGGGGUUACCCCCUUCGGUGCCGCAGCUAACGCAUUAAGUACUCCGCCUGGGAAGUACGCUCGCAAGAGUGAAACUCAAA
Molecule: ribosomal RNA, 877 nt
Filed under: Clostridioides difficile
Lineage: Bacteria; Bacillati; Bacillota; Clostridia; Peptostreptococcales; Peptostreptococcaceae
Description: bacterial SSU rRNA
Rfam family: Bacterial small subunit ribosomal RNA
Source: RNAcentral